RNAcentral lists this ribosomal RNA (661 nucleotides) under uncultured fungus. Its description in RNAcentral is "eukaryotic LSU rRNA". It matches the Rfam family "Eukaryotic large subunit ribosomal RNA", at positions 24 to 664 of the family's 3401-position model. The record is from RNAcentral. Lineage: Eukaryota; Fungi.
CCCGCUGAACUUAAGCAUAUCAAUAAGCGGAGGAAAAGAAACUAACAAGGAUUCCCCUAGUAACUGCGAGUGAAGCGGGAAAAGCUCAAAUUUAAAAUCUGGCAGCCAUUUUACGGUCGUCCGAGUUGCAAUCUAGAGAAGUGCUUUCCGCGCUGGACCGUGUACAAGUCUCUUGGAAUAGAGCAUCAUAGAGGGUGAGAAUCCCGUCUUUGACACGGACUACCAGUGCUUUAUGUGAUGCGCUCUCAAAGAGUCGAGUUGUUUGGCAAUGCAGCUCAAAAUGGGUGGUAAAUUCCAUCUAUAAACUAAAUAUUGGCGACAGACCGAUAGGCGAACCAGUACCGUGAGGGAAAGAUGAAAAGAACUUUGGAAAGAGAGUUAAACAGUACGUGAAAUUGUUGAAAGGGAAACGCUUGAAGUCAGUCACGUUGGCCAGAAAUCAACUUGUAACAGGGCGUAAUUUCUGGUUUUCCGGGUCAACAUCAAUUUUGAUUGUUGGAUAAAAGUCAAUAUUUAUGCGUUUUCGGACGUGUAGCCUUUGAUUGCAUACAAUGGUUGGGAUUGAGGAACUCAGCCCGCCGCAAGGCCGGGUAACUUGUUACCACGUAACGUGCUUAGGAUGUUGGCAUAAUGGCUUUAAUCGACCCGUCUUGAAACACGG